Molecule: non-coding RNA, 332 nt
Organism: Pelobates cultripes (western spadefoot toad)
Lineage: Eukaryota; Metazoa; Chordata; Amphibia; Anura; Pelobatidae
Source: the annotation of a GenBank genome assembly
CUUGGAGCUUGCGGGUACGAUCUGGAACCUGUCGCCCAAAAGCGGCUGGUGGCUCGGUUCCACUGCCGACCAGACCUCCCAAAAACACACCUUCCUGUGGGGGUGUGGAAAACCUGCUUGAGUGAGGUUUGGACCUUAUUCAAGGUGGUGAAUAGGUUUACGUGUUUUUUUAAGCUCUGCGAUGAAAGCGUUGUCAAAUAAUAGUCAUUGUGCCUUCGGGCUGAAUUCCUUUGCCCCUAGAUCCAGGAGCUUGUUGUCUAUGUGGAUCAGUGCCGACUUGCGUCUUUCGGUGCACAAUACGGCAUUAGCGUUGCCCAGAAGGCAUAUUAAUC